CCACCCAACCCUCCCCUCAACAACCCCCAACACGGAGGUCAAACUCUUCGGACGGCAUCACAUUUAAGCAGAUGCUAAUAUAUCACCUAGCUCAUCUGAAAACGCAUGUGUCACUGGAUCAGUGGCUGGAGUUGAGCUAGUGGUGGCGGGACAUGACGACAGAAACACAUGCCUGGUCUGUGGCUGGAGCCUGGGGAGCACGGGGUUGUUUGACAUGGUGGGGAAAUGUUUACUGAGACAACCUCAUCACGGCGCUCGGAGAUCGGUUAAUUUGAAUUGUAAAUGAAGCACCAUGUGUGUGAUCUGUGAGGGCACUGGCCCAGUGCUGACAGACAGGUCACAGUGGCGGAGCAGGUGAAGAAGGCCAGGCCAUGCGAUCCAGGGGGAGGACCGAGGGCUCGGAGAGACUCCCAGCUCGGUGUGGACAGCGGGGACAGGCGAGGGGGAAGCGCUGGUGAAACACAGGAGGGGCCUGCAGCUGGUGUGUGUGUGUCAAUGUUUAUAGAAUAUGCCUCUUUACGACCGCAGUAAAUCUUCAGCUUGUUCCAUUGUAAUCCA
Long non-coding RNA from Alosa alosa (allis shad), 558 nucleotides. RefSeq lists it as uncharacterized. The record is from RefSeq and is a predicted model, not a curated record. The transcript is spliced from 2 exons. Lineage: Eukaryota; Metazoa; Chordata; Actinopteri; Clupeiformes; Clupeidae.